AAGACUAAGGCUGAGGCUAAGGCGAACGCUAGCGAUGCUAAGCUGACGUCAUGACCAAAUGUUAGCGAUUGGUUACGGCAGAUCC
Etheostoma spectabile (orangethroat darter) is the source of this 85-nucleotide long non-coding RNA. RefSeq lists it as uncharacterized. The transcript is spliced from 3 exons. Lineage: Eukaryota; Metazoa; Chordata; Actinopteri; Perciformes; Percidae. The record is from RefSeq and is a predicted model, not a curated record.